CCCGGGGCCCUGAUUAAUGGCGAACGGGUGAGUAACACGUGGGCAAUCUGCCCUGCACUCUGGGACAAGCCCUGGAAACGGGGUCUAAUACCGGAUAUGAUCACCGGCCGCAUGGUCUGGUGGUGGAAAGCUCCGGCGGUGCAGGAUGAGCCCGCGGCCUAUCAGCUUGUUGGUGGGGUGAUGGCCUACCAAGGCGACGACGGGUAGCCGGCCUGAGAGGGCGACCGGCCACACUGGGACUGAGACACGGCCCAGACUCCUACGGGAGGCAGCAGUGGGGAAUAUUGCACAAUGGGCGCAAGCCUGAUGCAGCGACGCCGCGUGAGGGAUGACGGCCUUCGGGUUGUAAACCUCUUUCAGCAGGGAAGAAGCGCAAGUGACGGUACCUGCAGAAGAAGCACCGGCUAACUACGUGCCAGCAGCCGCGGUAAUACGUAGGGUGCGAGCGUUGUCCGGAAUUAUUGGGCGUAAAGAGCUCGUAGGCGGCCUGUCACGUCGGAUGUGAAAGCCCGGGGCUUAACCCCGGGUCUGCAUUCGAUACGGGCAGGCUAGAGUUCGGUAGGGGAGAUCGGAAUUCCUGGUGUAGCGGUGAAAUGCGCAGAUAUCAGGAGGAACACCGGUGGCGAAGGCGGAUCUCUGGGCCGAUACUGACGCUGAGGAGCGAAAGCGUGGGGAGCGAACAGGAUUAGAUACCCUGGUAGUCCACGCCGUAAACGUUGGGAACUAGGUGUGGGCGACAUUCCCGUCGUCCGUGCCGCAGCUAACGCAUUUAGUUCCCGCCUGGGGAGUACGGCCGCCAGGCUAAACUCCAAGGAAUUGACGGGGGCCGCCCCAGCGGCGGACCUGUGGCUUAUUCGACGCACGCGGAGAACUUACCAGGCUUGCCUUCUUCGGUGGUG
Molecule: ribosomal RNA, 899 nt
Filed under: Streptomyces sp.
Lineage: Bacteria; Bacillati; Actinomycetota; Actinomycetes; Kitasatosporales; Streptomycetaceae
Description: bacterial SSU rRNA
Rfam family: Bacterial small subunit ribosomal RNA
Source: RNAcentral